This 369-nucleotide long non-coding RNA is filed under the name Phaseolus vulgaris (common bean). RNAcentral describes it as "long non-coding RNA (PVUL_LNC005274)". Lineage: Eukaryota; Viridiplantae; Streptophyta; Magnoliopsida; Fabales; Fabaceae. The record is from RNAcentral.
AAAAAGGUGAUAAACACAAACACGGAUUCAUAAAAUUUGUACCAAUUAGUUGAUACAAAAUAAUUUGAUUUUGAUCUGUGAUGAUACGAAGUAACAAAUGGUUUUAAGGGUUUUUCUGUUACAAAAGCAUGUGUGUGUAUAAUAUAAUAAUUUGGAGAUUAUGAUUUGUUUAUUAUGGUUUUGAUAAGGAUAAAGGAAAUGAUGAUGUAUGGUAGUUUGAGUAGGUUGACAUCGAAAGAAAGCGUGUAAAUGAUGAGAAAGAAGCAUGUUUUGUGGCGGACUACAUGGGACUCUGAAUCCAUGUGUAUCAAUAGAUGAGGCAAUACUAUAGGUAGCCGUCAUCUACUACCACUUCAAAAAAUGUCGUCU